This 710-nucleotide ribosomal RNA is filed under the name bacterium RH12LO. Its description in RNAcentral is "bacterial SSU rRNA". It matches the Rfam family "Bacterial small subunit ribosomal RNA", at positions 202 to 918 of the family's 1533-position model. The record is from RNAcentral.
GGUGGAAAGUUUUUCGGUCAAGGAUGGACUCGCGGCCUAUCAGGUAGUUGGUGAGGUAAUGGCUCACCAAGCCGACGACGGGUAGCCGGCCUGAGAGGGUGACCGGCCACACUGGGACUGAGACACGGCCCAGACUCCUACGGGAGGCAGCAGUGGGGAAUAUUGCACAAUGGGCGAAAGCCUGAUGCAGCAACGCCGCGUGGGGGAUGACGGCCUUCGGGUUGUAAACCUCUUUUAGUAGGGAAGAAGGGCUUCGGCUUGACGGUACCUGCAGAAAAAGCACCGGCUAACUACGUGCCAGCAGCCGCGGUAAUACGUAGGGUGCAAGCGUUGUCCGGAAUUAUUGGGCGUAAAGAGCUCGUAGGCGGUUUGUCGCGUCUGCUGUGAAAACCCGAGGCUCAACCUCGGGCCUGCAGUGGGUACGGGCAGACUAGAGUGCGGUAGGGGAGAAUGGAAUUCCUGGUGUAGCGGUGGAAUGCGCAGAUAUCAGGAGGAACACCGAUGGCGAAGGCAGUUCUCUGGGCCGUUACUGACGCUGAGGAGCGAAAGCGUGGGGAGCGAACAGGAUUAGAUACCCUGGUAGUCCACGCCGUAAACGUUGGGAACUAGAUGUGGGGACCUUUCCACGGUCUCCGUGUCGCAGCUAACGCAUUAAGUUCCCCGCCUGGGGAGUACGGCCGCAAGGCUAAAACUCAAAGGAAUUGACGGGG